CGCUUGUUUUGAACGCGUGCACUGAAGGCCAGCAGAAGGAAAUGCUCGCUAAGGAAUCUCACAAAUAAUGUGCAUUUUAUCAACUGGUGUUUGUACUGACCGAGUAGGAACCGGUGCAGAACUUCUGACGAUGUUUCAAACGCACAGACGAAGCUGAAACCGAGAAGACAAGAGGUUUGCGGCGAUGUUCCGGCGGUUGCCGCGGCGGCCCAGAGCGCGAGCGACCCGGCCGAGGCGGGGACCUUACUGAAAGUUUCUUUCCGGAGGAACCCACAUCUUAAACACAAGUACCUCGAGGCAGAACCCAAGAUUUUAGGGGGCAUUAUUUCUGGCAGUUUGGCCAUAGCAGCACAGAAGCUUCACUUGCCAACACUUAAGGCUUGUUUGGGAAUGCAGGUGGUCACAUGUAUGGCAUAUAUCUUCUGUCUUCUGGGAACAUUAACUGAGCCAUAUUUAUACACCGUUUGCUUCUGGCAUCACAUCAAGAUGAAACAUGGAAACACAUGUAUACAAUUGGAGGAGGUCCUGGACAUCUCCUUCUGAUGCAUGGUAUUAUGGAUUCUAACAAAUAUCAACAGAUAAAAGAUCUAAAGCUGACUGCCUCUGUUAGAAAUGUUUUGAUGGACCAUGGUUGGAUUUUCCAUUGGGACAAUAAUCCAAAACAAUCCAAAAUCAACACAAAAAUGGAAGGGAUAUGCUGUACUGUGUUUCUUAGAUGAGCUCACAGAGGUGACUCAGAUUGUCCUCUCCCUCACAAUAGCUGCAUACUGCUGCAAGGCGAUUCCUUGCUGUUCUUCCGGAUCUAAUGUGGUAAGCAAUGUUCAUUUUAUAGAUCCUUUGAUGCUGGCGAGCAGUAUUGACCAAGCACAGUUCUCGAAUGUAAACGGUUUCUAUUUUUUAGCCCGUCGUCGUUAUGGCGCCACCCACGGAUACGCAAUGAAAGGGAGAGUGUGUGCACCUUAAGGCUAAUACUAAUAUAACUCGAUCUUAGAACACAUUAUGAGAUACUAAUACAUUAUACCAUAGUCAAGCUUAUCACUGAUAUAGUUUUAUUCAAGUAUUUUGAGAGCAUUAAAACAUCUAAUCUUUAGUCCUAAAAAAGAUGCAGAAUGUAUACCUAUUUCUGAAUUAACAGGAAUAAUGUAUAUUUGCAAUAUGAAUUAAUAUUUUAAUCAGCUUUACAAUACAACACAUAAAACUUAUACUGUAUGUUUUCCGAUUCAUGUACUGAAUUCACUGGUGUAUGGACAUUGUCAAUACUUAAAUGAAAGGUUAUUAUAAUUGAAUAAACAUAAGUCUUUUUUUACUCGCCUUUACGACAUUCCAAACCCAUUUCUUUCAUCGGUGGAAGAAUGAAGAAUGCUGGGAACCCAACUAAAUUGGAACCCACUGACUUCUAUUGUACAACGUAGACCAAAAAACAGCUUGGAACAAUGUUGUAAAAUUGUAUGACACUUAACAUAAAAGGGGUGUGCAUUAUUUUGAUGUGGAAUAUUGCUUUAAGCCAAUGGGGAAAAAAUGAACAGCAAUGCUAUUAAUGUAU
Puntigrus tetrazona (Sumatra barb) is the source of this 1543-nucleotide long non-coding RNA. RefSeq lists it as uncharacterized. The transcript has 5 exons. The record is from RefSeq and is a predicted model, not a curated record. Lineage: Eukaryota; Metazoa; Chordata; Actinopteri; Cypriniformes; Cyprinidae.